CUGGAAUUGCUAGUAAUGGCAGGUCAGCAUACUGCCGUGAAUACGUUCCCGGGCCCUUGUACACACCGCCCGUCACACCAUGAGAGUUGGAAAUACCCGAAGCCUGUGAGCUAACAGUAAUGAGGCAGCAGUCGAAGGUAGAGCCAAUGAUUGGGGUGAAGUCGUAACAAGGUAAC
Molecule: ribosomal RNA, 176 nt
Filed under: uncultured bacterium
Lineage: Bacteria
Description: partial 16S ribosomal RNA
Rfam family: Bacterial small subunit ribosomal RNA
Source: RNAcentral